GACGAACGCUGGCGGCGUGCUUAACACAUGCAAGUCGAACGGAAAGGCCCUGCUUUUGUGGGGUGCUCGAGUGGCGAACGGGUGAGUAACACGUGAGUAACCUGCCCUUGACUUUGGGAUAACUUCAGGAAACUGGGGCUAAUACCGGAUAGGAGCUCCUGCUGCAUGGUGGGGGUUGGAAAGUUUCGGCGGUUGGGGCUGGACUCGCGGCUUAUCAGCUUGUUGGUGGGGUAGUGGCUUACCAAGGCUGUGACGGGUAGCCGGCCUGAGAGGGUGACCGGCCACAUUGGGACUGAGAUACGGACCAGACUCCUACGGGAGGCAGCAGUGGGGAAUAUUGCACAAUGGGCGGAAGCCUGAUGCAGCAACGCCGCGUGCGGGAUGACGGCCUUCGGGUUGUAAACCGCUUUCGCCUGUGACGAAGCGUGAGUGACGGUAAUGGGUAAAGAAGCACCGGCUAACUACGUG
Molecule: ribosomal RNA, 468 nt
Filed under: uncultured bacterium
Lineage: Bacteria
Description: partial 16S ribosomal RNA
Rfam family: Bacterial small subunit ribosomal RNA
Source: RNAcentral